This 558-nucleotide small RNA is filed under the name Pan troglodytes (chimpanzee). RNAcentral's name for it is "retained intron". Lineage: Eukaryota; Metazoa; Chordata; Mammalia; Primates; Hominidae. The record is from RNAcentral.
UCUGCCUGGAUGCUGAAGAUGCUUUCCAUUCUUUGCUCAAAGCUGGGCAGCUCUGAGCUGCUGGUGCCUUCAAGCUGUUUGCCUGAGUGGCAGGUCAUCCUGCAGGGCCACACCACACCGUUGGGUCAGAGGCCACGGCUUCUGAAGAUCUGUUGCCUCACAGUGAGCACUAUGUGCCUGUCACCUGAGCAUGGCAGCUGCUGCUCUAAUAACCAGGCAUUGAAUCAGUUUCCCCAAAGCAGUGGUAGCUAAGAGAAUUUUUCUUUCGGAAGAGUUUCAGCUGUGGCAGAGGAGUCCCGUGCCCUUCCCAACGCCCCUGUUUUUGUCACCUUCCUAGGCUUGGAGAACCCCCUGCCUGAGCGUCCCCGGGAAAAAGAAGAACCAGUGGUUCGAGAGACAGGUGAGGUGGUCGACUGCCACCUCAGUGACAUGCUGCAGCAGCUGCACAGUGUCAAUGCCUCCAAGCCCUCGGAGCGUGGGCUGGUCAGGCAAGAGGAGGCUGAGGAUCCUGCCUGCAUCCCCAUCUUCUGGGUCAGCAAGUGGGUGGACUAUUCGGAC